Pristionchus pacificus is the source of this 61-nucleotide non-coding RNA. NCBI's taxonomy places the organism in Eukaryota, Metazoa, Nematoda, Chromadorea, Rhabditida, Neodiplogasteridae. The record is from Rfam.
UCUUCAUUCUGCACUCUUUCUCACCGGUCAAAGAAGCGAGAGAGUGUGCGAAAUGAAGAGA